This 253-nucleotide ribosomal RNA is filed under the name uncultured bacterium. RNAcentral describes it as "partial 16S ribosomal RNA". It matches the Rfam family "Bacterial small subunit ribosomal RNA", at positions 524 to 776 of the family's 1533-position model. The record is from RNAcentral.
UACAGAGGGGGCAAGCGUUGUUCGGAAUUACUGGGCGUAAAGGGCGCGUAGGCGGCCGCCUAAGUCAGACGUGAAAUCCCUCGGCUCAACCGGGGAACUGCGUCUGAUACUGGGUGGCUUGAAUCCGGGAGAGGGAUGCGGAAUUCCAGGUGUAGCGGUGAAAUGCGCAGAUAUCAGGAGGAACACCGAUGGCGAAGGCAGGUCUCUGGGCAUUAACUGACGCUGAGGAGCGAAAGCAUGGGGAGCGAACAGG